RNAcentral lists this ribosomal RNA (253 nucleotides) under uncultured bacterium. RNAcentral's name for it is "partial 16S ribosomal RNA". It matches the Rfam family "Bacterial small subunit ribosomal RNA", at positions 524 to 776 of the family's 1533-position model. The record is from RNAcentral.
UACGUAGGGGGCAAGCGUUAUCCGGAAUCAUUGGGCGUAAAGCGCGCGUAGGCGGCCCGGUAAGUCCGUUGUGAAAGUCAAAGGCUCAACCUUUGAACGCCGAUGGAUACUGCCGGGCUAGAGUCCGGAAGAGGCGAGUGGAAUUCCUGGUGUAGCGGUGGAAUGCGCAGAUAUCAGGAGGAACACCAAUAGCGAAGGCAGCUCGCUGGGACGGUACUGACGCUGAGGCGCGAAAGCGUGGGGAGCGAACAGG